Molecule: long non-coding RNA, 340 nt
Filed under: Mytilus galloprovincialis (Mediterranean mussel)
Lineage: Eukaryota; Metazoa; Mollusca; Bivalvia; Mytilida; Mytilidae
Source: RNAcentral
GUACUGCAGAAAAUAUUACAAAAUUGUCUUUUGUAUCUAAGUUGUCAUUACCAAACAAUAACAAAUCAAUUGUAACAGGAAUGUCUAAGUGGGUCAGUUCAGUAAGCAUAACAUUUCUUUGCGAUGCAAAGUUAUUACAAUAUAAUAAAUAGUGUUCAACACUUUCACUAGUGUACCCACAUGCACAAUAUGCAUCAUGUACUAAAUUGGCCUUGUUUAAAUCUGCGCUAAGUGCACUGCACUUGUUGCGUAGCCUUGCAUGUAAUAUAGAUAGCAGUCUAUCUCCAUAAAAAUAGUACCUAGGAGGUUUUACAUUAUGAAAAUACAGUUGUUGCAAUUG